This is a small nucleolar RNA of Nothoprocta perdicaria, 140 nucleotides long. Its record names the gene SNORA70. It matches the Rfam family "Small nucleolar RNA SNORA70". From Rfam's summary of the family: snoRNA U70 seems to be exclusive to mammals and is a member of the H/ACA class of snoRNA which contain H (ANANNA) and ACA box motifs. H/ACA box snoRNAs are involved in the conversion of uridines to pseudouridines (5-ribosyluracil) a constituent of structural RNAs (transfer, ribosomal, small nuclear, and small nucleolar). The record is from Ensembl. NCBI's taxonomy places the organism in Eukaryota, Metazoa, Chordata, Aves, Tinamiformes, Tinamidae.
CCGCAGCCAAUUAAGCCGGUCGUGGCCCCCCUCGCCGUGGGGCCCCGGCGUGCCCUGGCUGCGCACAGGGACCCCCCCGGCUGUGUAGGGGUGCCCGGUGUGGCCGUCGCGGGGCGCCCCAAGGGGCCGGGGGGACAGGA